Molecule: ribosomal RNA, 411 nt
Filed under: uncultured bacterium
Lineage: Bacteria
Description: bacterial SSU rRNA
Rfam family: Bacterial small subunit ribosomal RNA
Source: RNAcentral
GCGCCAUCCGCCGCGGUAAGACGAACCGUGCAAACGUUGUUCGGAGUUACUGGGCGUAAAUGGUGUGUAGGCGGUUCUCUAAGUCUGGUGUGAAAUCUCCCGGCUCAACUGGGAGGGUGCGCCGAAAACUGGAGGACUAGAGUGCGGGAUGGGAGAGUGGAAUUCCUGGUGUAGCGGUGAAAUGCGUAGAUAUCAGGAGGAACACCUGUGGUGUAGACGGCUCUCUGGACCGCAACUGACGCUGAGACACGAAAGCGUGGGUAGCAAACAGGAUUAGAUACCCUGGUAGUCCACGCCCUAAACGAUGCAUAUUUGGUGUGGGCCAUUCAUUUGGUCUGUGCCGGAGCUAACGCGUUAAAUAUGCCGCCUGGGGAGUACGGGCGCAAGGCUGAAACUCAAAGGAAUUGACGG